UGGGGAAUCUUGGACAAUGGGGGCAACCCUGAUCCAGCGACGCCGCGUGGGUGGUAAGGCCUUCGGGUUGUAAAGCCCUUUCACCGGGGAAGAUGAUGACAUUACCCGGAGAAGAAGCGCCGGCUAACUCCGUGCCAGCAGCCGCGGUAAGACGGAGGGGGCAAGCGUUGUUCGGAUUUACUGGGCGUAAAGGGCGCGUAGGCGGGGUAUCAAGUUAGGGGUGAAAGCCCGGGGCUCAACCUCGGAACUGCCUUUAAAACUGAUACUCUAGAGUCCGGAAGAGGGUCGCGGAAUUCCCAGUGUAGAGGUGAAAUUCGUAGAUAUUGGGAAGAACACCGGUGGCGAAGGCGGCGACCUGGUCCGGUACUGACGCUGAGGCGCGAAAGCGUGGGGAGCAAACAGGAUUAGAUACCCCCGUAGUCC
This 423-nucleotide ribosomal RNA is filed under the name uncultured prokaryote. RNAcentral's name for it is "bacterial SSU rRNA". It matches the Rfam family "Bacterial small subunit ribosomal RNA", at positions 355 to 796 of the family's 1533-position model. The record is from RNAcentral.